UACGAAGGGGGCUAGCGUUGCUCGGAAUCACUGGGCGUAAAGGGCGCGUAGGCGGAUCUUUAAGUCGGGGGUGAAAGCCCAGGGCUCAACCCUGGAAUUGCCUUCGAUACUGGAGAUCUUGAGACCGGAAGAGGUAAGUGGAACUGCGAGUGUAGAGGUGAAAUUCGUAGAUAUUCGCAAGAACACCAGUGGCGAAGGCGGGUCUCUGGGCAGUAACUGACGCUGAGAAGCGAAAGCGUGGGGAGCGAACAGG
RNAcentral lists this ribosomal RNA (253 nucleotides) under uncultured bacterium. RNAcentral's name for it is "partial 16S ribosomal RNA". It matches the Rfam family "Bacterial small subunit ribosomal RNA", at positions 524 to 776 of the family's 1533-position model. The record is from RNAcentral.